CUAUGAAUUUGUUACAUUUUAAGCUGCUUUCAUCUGCCUUGUUCACAAAUAGUCUCACUGAAGUAUAAAGUGAUCACCUAUUACUGCAAUGUGAUUUUCAUAGUAUUGAAAAUCAUUGCCCAUACACAAAAGCAUCUGUUUGGCAAUGUUUUUACUUAGGAAGAACAAAUUCUUCAACUGAAUUGUCUUAACUAUAGAAACAAGAUUUAGGUAUCUGUGCUCAUGAAAAGUAAGAGUAUUCUUUAAGAUAUGUGCCAUUAAUUGACUACUGAUAACAUUUUAAGGCAUCAAGGUAAUAGUAUUAUUACGUAAUUAUUACAUUGUGAAGAAUAUAGUCACAGUUACACUACUGCAGUAGGCAUCUUCAACACAAACAUCCAGUAGUAUUAUACUAUUAUGAGCUUUAAGAUGCUGUUUCUACUCAGUUGUGCCACAACUACGAUAGCAAGAUUUUUGACAAUAUCUCUGGUCUGAAAACUCACCAGGAUUAAUCCUGUGUCAUUUACAAAAUCUAGUACACUGGGGUUUAAAAUUAUAGCCCACUUUUCCAUCCAAAAAGCUUUGCAGCAUUCCUCAACUAUUUAAUUGGUAAAAGCAAUGCAACACACUACAUACAUGAGCAAUGUGUGUCCCUUUUGCCAUAAAACUACAACAAAUAUAAAUAUGUUCUACAAUAUUUGUAAUAAUUGCUUACACUUACAUUGAUCUUGAACACCUUUACAGAAACUUGAUCAUACUGACUUUAUGUCCUCAGUGUCUACAAACAACCAGGAUUUUGCUGAUGGGAGCCAAUAAGUUUGUAUUUGAUCUCUCAAUAUGCAACAAUGAUCUCUCCUGGGUUUAUUUUCUGGCCUGUGGUAUCAGUGCAGAAAGCGUAUCUCUGUAACUCAACCACUUAAAACUGGCCCUCCAAAUUAGGAGCUGGUCCUACCUGCUCUUAAUUGCUUGUGCCUGUUCCUGUGCUACCAGUGUGAGCACAAGCAUUCGUCAGGUCAAUGAACUGUGCAGUAAGGCUGCUCUGUUUAAAAGUAUCUUUUAGUGUGGUCAAAACUAACUAAACAUAUUUAUUUUCUGUGGGGUUAAUAUUACCCUCAGUUAGAUCUCCAGAUCUGUUUGAGUUGUGUGUAAACACCUGUGGAAGCACAAGUUGCAGAGCAACAGAAGAGCAGAAGUGGCUGGGAGAGAGGAAAGGGAGGGAGGCACUUGCCAUCCAGCCUCUGCCUCCAGUGUCCCAUAGCUCAAAGUGAUAGUGAAACCGUGGCACAACUGGAGAUGCCUUCAUAUAGGUACUGCACACAAAACCAUCUGCAGUAGCUACAGAAGUGUCUGACAGAAUAUGUCUGCAUUUAUGGUGCUACACUUAAUAACACAUUCUGCUAAAAUGUUGCUGUACAUAAAGGCACAGCCUGGUCUUGUAGCUCGAUCCCAAAGUCCCAAAGCAGAGCAGGCAGUGAGCUGCUCGAGCUGCAUCCUGAAAGAAUUGGUGGUGUAGGGAAGAGAAAACAGGGGUUAGUUUUGGUUGAAUAGAGAAGGACACAAUGAGGAAAGGAUAUUUCCAAAGUCUCCUUUCAAAGGAGGAAAAAUAAUAAGAACACAGCAAGUGUUUGCUGGUAUUAAACCAUGAUAAAGUGCUAGUGACCUAUUAUUUCUUUGGGAACAGAUUUGUUGCUUGUGAAAAAAAGUGCAAAUUGCAGCAACUAAUCCAGGCAAAACACCAGCAGAUGCUGUGUGCAAGCUGCCUUAAGCCUUUGCCAGUCCCCCAUGCCUGGUGUAUGGGAUAAGCAGGCAGAAGUACACUAGGCCAUAACACGAAACUCCUAUUUUAUAUUGUCAGAAACGAGGUUUGUAUGUGCUCUUCAAGGCACAAAUCUUGAUGUCAGUCAUUUGGCAGUUGGUCAGUGUUCAUUUGUAUAUAAGCAACCUAUACACAAGUAUAUAAUGUUGACAGUUUGAACCAAAUGCCUUGUUUACAUUUCCUUACUCAUUGUGGAGCCACCGACUCUCAUGUGAUGGUAUGAGGAUGCUGUAUGCCUCGGUUAAGUAUUUUAAAUUACCAUGGCUGGUCAAGAUCCUACAAUUUAAGUAGUUGCAAAACCUAUAAUGAGUAGCUAAAACAGGGAUUUGAAUUAGAACAUGCAGAAAAGCCUACCCUCUCUCCUAAUUUUUAAUGAAACCUAUUUUUAGUAAUGUAAAAUAAUUCCGAUUUUUUUUCCAGUGAAAAAGCUAACUCUUAAGACACUGAAAACCAGACUGCACUCUGUUUCCAGUGCUGUUUCAGUAAAAAUUAAAUACAAUGCAGAAUGCACAUGCAGUCCCUGAAGGAGGGACUGGAACUGAGGUAUGCAGAACUCCCACAUUCUCAGGCAUAUUUCCCUAUGAACCUACUAAUUUGAAUGAUGACGUACAGAAAUACAGAGUUCUAGGAAGUUAAAACCGUUGCGCAAAUCUGUUUUUAUGAUUAAGAAGGUCCCAAUGGAUCCAACGGGCAAUUCAGUGAGAACUGGGAGAAGUUGAAAAGAGAUAACCAGCAGGUGACACGAAAUUAGACACUCAGCAAGAAGGAAGCUUUCAUCUGCAUACUCAGACAUGGCAAACCUGGAAUUUCAGACUUCAGCAGGAUGUCGUAUAUGCCAAAACUACAAAUGGUCCAGAAAGUAAUUAGAAACAUUCAUAGAAAGUCCAUCAAGACCCAUUAAGCACAAGAAUGCAGAUACAAACUCCAGUUUCUGGAUGCCCCAGUGCCACAGACUGCCAAAAGCUCAGAGGAAAUACCAGCAAAGCAUCUGGCCAUACUUGUCCUCUUCUGGAUUCUUUCCCUAAUUACCAGCUGCUGCUGGCCACUGUGGGAAGUAGGACAACAAGCUGGGCGUCAGCAAAACAUCACCUUUACCUCAUCCGCCUGGCCAUUCUGAUGUGAGAACUUGCCAUGACUCUGCCUCAGUCCCCUUGCUCUGGAACCAAAAGUCCUCCACAAGUUCUCUCCGUGGGUCAUUUGCAGUGUGAAGGGGGUGACCUCUACAGACUGAGGAAGCUCAGAAGAACAGGUUUGGGGGCUCAGAGAGAUACGAGACACCUCAAUCGCUACAGGGCCUCAAGCACAAAGGGAGAAAAGCUAUUACUUUACCUUCAUUCUUCUCCCUGUUUUAACCUCCUGAAGUGAACAGAAGUAGGUGUGGCUUCUCCACCUCAAUUACCUUAUCCAGAAAAUCAGAAAUCUCACAAUCUGCCAGUGUUGAUAACUCCAUUUAAAGAGAAUUCUUAAACAUAAAGUGUAGGAACAGCAGACAGAAGCUGAUAUGAAAUAUAAUCCAAAUGGACUGUCAGGAAAUUCUCAAAUGUCUAAGCAUUAAGGGCUGUGAAGUUGUGCUCUACAAAGGAAAGCAAAUGUGGCAAAGAGAAAGAACUGAAAGACAAGCACCAGAUUUUGCCAAAUCCUGGGCACAUUGCAGCGGCUGUAGACUGUCCUGAGAAACACUGUGACUCUGAAAGGGCAGAGAACAGACUCUGCAGCAGCUUUAGAUGUGGCACAACAAACCCCGCUCUGUGUGGGCACAGCGGCCCUGCCAGGCCGGCCGGCCGGCAGCCGGGGAGAGGAGCCUGCCCGGGCCCCAGCUCCACAGAUGCUGCUCCACACUCUGGAAUACAAAUAGCUGGCAAAGGAGUUUCACAGCACUGGCCUUCCAUGUGCAGGCAGAAGAUAAGUGAUUCUUUGGUUUCCAAAAGUCAAAGUGAGUCUCCAGAAUUCUGGGCUUUUAGGAAGAGAGAUCAUAUUUUAAAACUUUUGUAAUCCAAAAUAAUAUUUUACUGUCAUGCUAAGUUAUUGUCAGGAACAGAGGAACUGUUACAAUUGAGAGAUUAGGUGGCCUACAGAAGAGAGUGUUACUGAAAAAAGCCUGUAACCCAGUAUGCAUAUUUAAUCUUUUUUAAAAAUGAGCCUGGAAACAGUCUAUCACCAAGUGUAAUGAUCUACUCAUGUCUGACUUACCAAACAGUAUAUGAUACUUUACCAAAAGCCAGCAGCAGCAAUACCUAAGAUUUGCUUGCCAAUGUCUUACAACUCUGUCAGUCCUCUAGUAACCUGCAAAAUUCCUACUUCCAAAAUGUACAAGAUUGAGCUAAAAUAAUUUUGUAAUGCAGUUCGGGGAAGGUAUUCUUAGUGUUGAUGCACAGCACAAAGCACAAGGAGCUGUUACUUGGCUUUCCUCGGCCAAGCACAGAGACUAUGAGAAUGACCACCAUUUUAUCCCCCCAAAAUUGUGUUCCAUGUCCAAACUGAGAGGAAUCUGAGGACUGUGCCAAACAACUACGAUCACGUGUGACUUAUCUUCCAGCACUCUGGUGUUCUGAUUGCUCAGCACCUUGAGAAAUUGCCUAGGAACUGUGGUUUUCUUUCUGUCGGUUUGGUUCCACUACCACCUGUAUCUACCAACUGGUAGCAGGCUACAUUUUACUUUACCUCUCUUAUUGCUGCUACAUUUUCUCUCUUGAUGCAUUUGUUGCUGAUGGGACAGUAUGGGAGAGUGCUGGCUGGUUUUUUAGAGCAUCUUUCUGACAGCUCAUCAGCGUAGAGCAACUGGAGCGGCAGCCCUGAACCAGCCCUUGCCGAUCCUACAGGAGACCACAGGAAUCAGAAAUGGACUGACAAAGAGAAGAGCCCCAGUACACAAGCCCUAAGGAAAACAGUGGCCAGCAGCUGUGCUGAGGUGUCUUUUGAGAAGAUUUCUGUCACAUCAAGACCCAGACAGCACACAGCUGAUGUCCCCAUCCAGCUGGGAAGGGUGAGAAUCACACAAGCCAGAUGAUUUAAAGGUAACUGAAUCCUUCUCCUGUAAUGCAUGGUCCUGUGCAACAGAACGUACAUUCAAGCAGCAAGAGCAGCCUGACUGCGAUGCUGGUGUAAUUCCACUUCUGACAGUGAUUUCCAAGGGCUCUGGAAGAAAGCUGUGGACAGACCUUGGAGCCAUAUGAAAAUACAAGUCAAAAGCUGCAGGCAGUGGAGGAACUGCAUGAGAAACCCUCCUCACUAAGCUGCAAUCAUCACCUAAAACCACAAGAUGAAUUACCAGAUUCAGAAACGUAAAGAGAAACCGAAAUGCAGUCUGUUUGCUGGAGAGCUGCUUCAUGCGAUACAGCUCUCCCCCAGACCCUGACUGCUCCCAGCCUCCGCAGCAGGUCUCUUUUCAUCACCAGCCCUCAAAAACUCACAUGGAACAUCCAGACGAUGGUACUACAGCAAUUCUUAAUCCAUGCACUUUAACUAUGGGAAACCCUUUAUCUUAUUAAUAAAAUACUGCAAAGCAGCAAUGCAGAAUCUCUUAAUCAGUUCCACACGCACAGGCACGGGUUCCUCCACAGCACAGCACCAUGGCUUGACUUCAGAGCCUCCCUACUGGUACCAGUGAAGGGAAGGAGCCCGCAUGAGCGGCACUGGCAUUGUCGAGGAAGCCCCAGAUGACAGCCCUGCUGUAGGCCAGACAUAAAUCCAGUCACGCUAAUGCAACAGUUCAGCUGCCUUCCCAGCCCAGGGGUGAAUACAGACUGCAGGAUCACAUGGGUUAACUGAAAAGAUAUUGAACCUGUUGGUCUGGAUGGAAUAUGUGGACAUGAAGGUAUCUUAACGUAAGAGGGUGUUAAUGGCUGCCAUCAAUCAAGAUUUUGAUCUCUAGACAAUAUUAGAUCUUGUCUCUAGGCAAUGACAGUUCUUAAACCUAAUGGGUACGCUAACAGCUUUCAUUCAGGCGACAUGAAAGCAGGAGUUGAAUACUUCAGUGGACUGAGGUAACAAGACAACAGAAGCUACUGCCCAAGGCAAUCAUGCACAAGAUUAAACCUAAGUAAGGCAAUACUUUUAAUAUCCUCAACUAUCUUAUUUGAAAAAGAAAAAAUAAUUAUUUCUUCAUUUCUCCAGGGAGAAUAGAAGUCAGCAUAUCCAUUAGCUUCCACUGUAUCUGAAACUGUCUAAAAAAAAUCCACAGAAGAGCCAGCCCAGCUCAUCAACUCAAGGGCAAGGCCACUUCUGUUGCUUGCAGGAUCUGUGGACAACCUGACCACAUCGUGUUACCCAGAGCAAGCAUCCUGCAAAACCAAGGCAGCUCACAGGCACACUGGACAACUGACUGACAUGGACAUAGAAAUGGCUCUGCAUAGUCAGCUAAAUCAAAUGGGAUUUUCUUUGCUCUGCUAGGCCUAGCAGAAUCACUAGUUUGCACCAGUUUUCUCAGCAUGCAUGGCUUCGUCAGCCUUCUCUCAGCUGGGUCUGAGCCAGCUGAGUGCAUCCUGCCCAAGCUAAUGAAGUCUUCCAGAAACAGGAGCACUGAAAAGUAAAGGGCAGAGAUGCCGAACAGCUCUGUGAGAGCCAGGCGGGGCUUGGCAACGAUGGAGGCAGAUCCUGCUGCACCCUGAGCGGCUCCACGCAGUGCGGCUCUCCUGCCUUUGCAUGAUGCUUCCCAUCCAGCCCUUCCCUUGUCCAGGUGCCACAGGUCCCUCUCUUCCACCACCAUUGCCCUGGGAGAUAAUUAGGCUGCUGGAGCAAGUCCUCAUGCAGCCACUUUGCCAGAGAGACAGAACAGGCUGCUUGCUUUCUUGCAGGGUCAAGUUAAUUUUUUUUCCUGCUUGUUCUUACAUGGCCUGCUGUUUAGGCCAAUAUUUCAUAAAGAAAAUCUUACACUCACUGUAGCGUGAAGUGGUCAAAUACUCACUAGUCUUCUGAAAGCUCAAAAUCAUCCAAGUCUAUGAAUGCAAGAGAAGAUAUAUCAAUGAACAACAACAAGAAAAGCCCCACACACCAACCAAACAAAAAAGCUAUUGAGAGAAAUUUAAUGAACUCGUAUUUCUUCCUGAUGUUCUCUGUUGUGUCUUCCUCUGUCAAAAAUAAAAAAAAGAAAAUACUUCUAAGCUAUAAAACUGAGAGAUUCUCAAGCCAUAUGAAUAUCAUCAGUAAUUAAUGUUAUGUUAUAAAAUACUAUUGUAUACAGAUUCUAAAAGAAAGGCAAUAACAAGUUAUUUACAUUGUUUCUAGAAACCUACAGCACAGAUUUGUUUAAAAUACACUGUAACAUGAUUGUUUCCUUAGAAUUACUAUACUGAUAACAUCUCAUACAAAAUUGAAUUAUGAACAUGGUAAAACAAACUUACUUAGCAAAAGAAUAGCUCUAUCACAACAUUGUAUUUUAAGCACAACACUGUAUUUAUAAACUCUCCCCAAAACAUACUGAAAGUGCCAAACCUCUGCUUGAGAAACAAUUCAUGGAGCCCUGCUACGAAAUGAGUGAAUCCAGCCAGCACCAGGGAUGUAGGCAUGCAAACACCAUCACCCACAUCUUCGUGGGUAAGUGCCAUUCUGAUGGUGUAACUUGAGUCCCAGAAUUCACAUCAAGGAACAAUUACAUUUUCUACUACAGCAGCAAUGAUCUGAUUAAUUUAAUCUAGUUGAUAGAUGUCACUAGUGAUUUUUAUUAGCAAAUCGGUCUCGUUGUAUUUGCAGACAUGACAUUAAUUGUAUUUAUGGGCUGUGCCAUGUCAAAAGAGCAGGACUUGUGCCUGACCUGUGUCUGAGAAAGUCAUCCACAUAAUACAUCAAGAAGGAAGCUUGCUGAACAUACUGUGCCCUUAAAAAUGCUGUUCCAGGAAGAAUCAGGCACCAUAAAGGUUGUUUCCACGGUUCAGUACUGCAAUUGCCUGCCCUACAUGAACUCCAUAGGCUAAUAGGAAUUAUCUCAUUUGGAGCACAAAACUAAAAGAAAAACUAGGACUAAAAUAUCCAGCAAGUAAUCACUCACAUAAAAAAAAAAGGCAAAAAACACCCAACCAACCAGCAAAGGAAAACCCAACUGUGAGAUGUUUGUAUGUUUGUUUUAAAGGUUAAAUAUAUUUUCAGGAAGUGUGACAGGGUUCUGCAAGCUCUUGCACCAAGUCAGAAUCUUUGUGUGGUCAUUGCAAAGACACAUAAAAGAAACAUGACACAAUCUUUUUUUUUUUUUUCUUAAUUAUAAAUAAUCUUUCCAUUAUUCAGCUCUUUUUACAGGCUUAGAGAUUGCAGAUCCCUCAUCACUUCACUUCUGCUUGCUUUGUAGCAUUGCAUAAAUUUACAAUCUGUUGUGUCUGCAGACCUCAUAGCCAUUCAAAUAUAUAACUGAACCCUGAAGGCCCAACUGCGUGUGCUGAGGGCAGGAUAAAGUUACAGCAAUAGAUUGUGAGUGCUGAGAAGACACUUCAUGCAAGGAUCACUCGAACGCCCUGGUCUCUGGGGGCGAUGGCUGCAGACAGUGAGGCUGGGCAGCUCGCUCCCUCUGCUCCCGGCAGCCUGCUCUGUGCCAGCCUCACCGGGUCCUGUUCAGCCCCAUCCCAGGAGGAUGAUUCUGAGCUGAAAAGGAAAGCCCUCAGCAGCCUUCUCCCUCAUCUAACCAGUCUGAGGCUGGAAGCAGUUUGCCCCUGAAUCCCUACACACAUUCAUAAAUGAUUUAUCACUUCUGAAUUAUCAUACCAUAAAGUCGUAAAAGAAUAGAUAUGUUCUCUGAACCACACAGUAACUGAUUAUUUAGGAAAAGGAAGCAAAAAGCCAUGCUGUGUUUAUUUUUUUGCCUGUUUUCAAGGUGUUCAUAUGCUCAUAGUUCGGGCCAGCAUCACUCCAGCGUACAAGCACGAGUUAGGCAAUCUUCAAGUUGAGCUGUAGGUUUUGUUGCCAUGAGUAAACAAAAUGCUUCCUCACUCCACACACAACUGGAUUUGUAGCUUGUUUCCCGUGACUUGCAAAUGAACACAAUGGCAGUGAUGGGUACAUUAGAGCCAAGCGCUGAGGACUGGAGACUCUGCUCUAUCCGCACGGCGGGCGGAGCACGCAGCGCAGCCUGCACACAUGCCCCACACCUUCUCACCAAUUAAGUUAAUCACUUCAGGGCUGAGAGACGAAUGUUUACUGCUCUUCACCUUUCAGUCUCUGUGCCACCGCUGCUACUACAGCAGCUCGUUCAUAUUAAUUGGGAUAGUCUUUUAUGACACGCUUGACAAGUAGAAACCAUUCCCAUAUCACCAGUUUACUCCAGAGGCACAGAUCCUAUCCAGAGCCACCAGCUUGAAUUAGCUGGCCAGACUGGAAAAGCUUGAUAUGCUCUUGUUAAUUCAGUGAACUUUUACUUGCAUAAUUGUAGCAUAUUAGCUCAAAUAAAUGUACCAUGACUUUU
Long non-coding RNA from Columba livia (rock pigeon), 9179 nucleotides. RefSeq lists it as uncharacterized. The record is from RefSeq and is a predicted model, not a curated record. Lineage: Eukaryota; Metazoa; Chordata; Aves; Columbiformes; Columbidae. The transcript has 7 exons.